GUGUCAGCAGCCGCGGUAAGACGAACCGUGCGAACGUUGUUCGGAAUCACUGGGCUUAAAGGGCGCGUAGGCGGCUUGCCAAGUCAGGGGUGAAAUCCUCCAGCUCAACUGGAGAAGUGCCUUUGAUACUGGCGAGCUCGAGGGAGGUAGGGGUGUGUGGAACUUCUGGUGGAGCGGUGAAAUGCGUUGAUAUCAGAAGGAACGCCGGUGGCGAAAGCGACGCACUGGACCUCUUCUGACGCUGAGGCGCGAAAGCUAGGGGAGCAAACGGGAUUAGAUACCCUGGUAGUCC
Molecule: ribosomal RNA, 292 nt
Filed under: uncultured bacterium
Lineage: Bacteria
Description: partial 16S ribosomal RNA
Rfam family: Bacterial small subunit ribosomal RNA
Source: RNAcentral